RNAcentral lists this ribosomal RNA (948 nucleotides) under uncultured Gammaproteobacteria bacterium. RNAcentral's name for it is "bacterial SSU rRNA". It matches the Rfam family "Bacterial small subunit ribosomal RNA", at positions 247 to 1188 of the family's 1533-position model. Lineage: Bacteria; Pseudomonadati; Pseudomonadota; Gammaproteobacteria. The record is from RNAcentral.
AGUAGGUGGGGUAACGGCUCACCUAGGCGACGAUCCCUAGCUGGUCUGAGAGGAUGACCAGCCACACUGGAACUGAGACACGGUCCAGACUCCUACGGGAGGCAGCAGUGGGGAAUAUUGCACAAUGGGCGCAAGCCUGAUGCAGCCAUGCCGCGUGUAUGAAGAAGGCCUUCGGGUUGUAAAGUACUUUCAGCGGGGAGGAAGGGAGUAAAGUUAAUACCUUUGCUCAUUGACGUUACCCGCAGAAGAAGCACCGGCUAACUCCGUGCCAGCAGCCGCGGUAAUACGGAGGGUGCAAGCGUUAAUCGGAAUUACUGGGCGUAAAGCGCACGCAGGCGGUUUGUUAAGUCAGAUGUGAAAUCCCCGGGCUCAACCUGGGAACUGCAUCUGAUACUGGCAAGCUUGAGUCUCGUAGAGGGGGGUAGAAUUCCAGGUGUAGCGGUGAAGUGCGUAGAGAUCUGGAGGAAUACCGGUGGCGAAGGCGGCCCCCUGGACGAAGACUGACGCUCAGGUGCGAAAGCGUGGGGAGCAAACAGGAUUAGAUACCCUGGUAGUCCACGCCGUAAACGAUGUCGACUUGGAGGUUGUGCCCUUGAGGCGUGGCUUCCGGAGCUAACGCGUUAAGUCGACCGCCUGGGGAGUACGGCCGCAAGGUUAAAACUCAAAUGAAUUGACGGGGGCCCGCACAAGCGGUGGAGCAUGUGGUUUAAUUCGAUGCAACGCGAAGAACCUUACCUGGUCUUGACAUCCACGGAAGUUUUCAGAGAUGAGAAUGUGCCUUCGGGAACCGUGAGACAGGUGCUGCAUGGCUGUCGUCAGCUCGUGUUGUGAAAUGUUGGGUUAAGUCCCGCAACGAGCGCAACCCUUAUCCUUUGUUGCCAGCGGUCCGGCCGGGAACUCAAAGGAGACUGCCAGUGAUAAACUGGAGGAAGGUGGGGAUGACGUCAA